AUUCCUGCGUGAGGGCUGUGCCUCAAAGUGGGCCUUCGGCAGCGUGGCGGCGUGCCCUGAGAGGGCAAAUUGAGCACUGCCAGAAAAUGGAGUCCACAGACAGAGGGAUGCUGGGGACCCCAGGUUGCCUCUUUGGUCCAGGAACGUACAAGGAGACCCGGGAACGCUGCUUCUCCACCAAGCUGCUGGUUCCAAGACUUUUGCCGUUUGCUUCUGGGUGGGUGUAGAACUGGAGUCCACAUAUCAGCCGUGUUCUCCCUAUGCCCUAAGAAAAGAGUGUUUCCAGCGAGCACAUCCAGUGGAAUUCCCAACGCUCUGCCCGGAGUCCGCAACUUUGGGAAGGGGAGUCAAUUUAUCAGGUCACCUCUGGUCUGUCCCCAUAAUGAGCUCGGGGGAUGGGUUCUCCCAGCAUCUUGGUGUCCAUUCUUGAUGGCGCCGAUUCAUGCGAGGGACCCAGCCUUUCUUGUAUUCCCGCCGAAAGCCAUCGCUUUCACACGAUGUGCAAACACGUGGAAGAAUUUCUUGGGAGCUGGAGAUGCUGGGAAGAGUCACUUCCCAAGGGAGCAAACAGCAUUCCAUGGCCAUUUAUUUUUCCAGGGUUUUCGCAGCCACGUCUGCAACCCGGGUCGUUCUUCCGCAGCACAACAGCCAGGACUCGCAUCCAGGGCUCGUUCACUCUGUCAUCUAGUUCUUCUGUGUUUAUUCGGCACCUUACCACGUGCCAGACAGCUGGGGAAGCACGGGAGACAGCCAUCCCUGCCCUCAGCAUCUACUGGGAU
This 779-nucleotide long non-coding RNA is filed under the name Sus scrofa (pig). RNAcentral describes it as "lncRNA (ENSSSCG00055008437.1)". The record is from RNAcentral. Lineage: Eukaryota; Metazoa; Chordata; Mammalia; Artiodactyla; Suidae.